CGGGUGAGUAACGCGUGAGGAACCUGCCUCAAAGGGGGGAACAACAGUUGGAAACGACUGCUAAUACCGCAUAAGCCCACGGCUCGGCAUCGAGCAGAGGGAAAAAGAGCAAUCCGCUUUGAGAUGGCCUCGCGUCCGAUUAGCUAGUUGGUGAGGUAACGGCCCACCAAGGCGACGAUCGGUAGCCGGACUGAGAGGUUGAACGGCCACAUUGGGACUGAGACACGGCCCAG
Molecule: ribosomal RNA, 233 nt
Filed under: uncultured bacterium
Lineage: Bacteria
Description: partial 16S ribosomal RNA
Rfam family: Bacterial small subunit ribosomal RNA
Source: RNAcentral